Molecule: ribosomal RNA, 484 nt
Filed under: uncultured bacterium
Lineage: Bacteria
Description: partial 16S ribosomal RNA
Rfam family: Bacterial small subunit ribosomal RNA
Source: RNAcentral
AUUGAACGCUGGCGGCAUGCCUUACACAUGCGAGUCGAACGGCAGCACGGGAGCAAUCCUGGUGGCGAGUGGCGAACGGGUGAGUAAUACAUCGGAACGUGCCCAGUAGUGGGGGAUAACCCGGCGAAAGCCGGACUAAUACCGCAUACGACCUACGGGUGAAAGCGGGGGAUCGCAAGACCUCGCGCUAUCGGAGCGGCCGAUGUCAGAUUAGCUAGUUGGUGGGGUAAAGGCCUACCAAGGCGACGAUCUGUAGCUGGUCUGAGAGGACGACCAGCCACACUGGGACUGAGACACGGCCCAGACUCCUACGGGAGGCAGCAGUGGGGAAUUUUGGACAAUGGGCGCAAGCCUGAUCCAGCCAUGCCGCGUGCGGGAAGAAGGCCUUCGGGUUGUAAAACGCUUUUGUCAGGGAAGAAACGCUCCGGGCUAAUACCACGGAGUAAUGACGGUACCUGAAGAAUAAGCACCGGCUAACUACGUG